UGCAGUACUUGCUUCGGCUGCAUAUAUACUAAAAUUGGAAUAAUACAGAGAAGAGUAGUAUGGUCCCUGAACAAGGAUGGUAUGAAAAUUUGUGAAAGGUUCCAUAUUAAA
This is a small nuclear RNA of Marmota flaviventris (yellow-bellied marmot), 111 nucleotides long. Lineage: Eukaryota; Metazoa; Chordata; Mammalia; Rodentia; Sciuridae. The record is from RefSeq and is a predicted model, not a curated record.